GACGAACGCUGGCGGCGUGCCUAAUACAUGCAAGUCGAACGAACCGCGACUAGGUGCUUGCACUUGGUCAAGGUGAGUGGCGAACGGGUGAGUAACACGUGGGUAACCUACCUCAUAGUGGGGGAUAACAGUCGGAAACGACUGCUAAUACCGCAUAGGACAUAGGAUCACAUGAUUCUGUGAGGAAAGGUGGCGCAAGCUAUCGCUAAGAGAUGGACCCGCGGUGCAUUAGCUAGUUGGUAGGGUAAAGGCCUACCAAGGCGAUGAUGCAUAGCCGACCUGAGAGGGUGAUCGGCCACAUUGGGACUGAGACACGGCCCAAACUCCUACGGGAGGCAGCAGUAGGGAAUCUUCCGCAAAGGACGCAAGUCUGACGGAGCAACGCCGCGUGAGUGAAGAAGGUCUUCGGAUCGUAAAGCUCUGUUGUUAGAGAAGAACAGCGCAUAGAGUAACUGCUAUGCGUGUGACGGUAUCUAACCAGAAAGCCACGGCUAACUACGUG
This 502-nucleotide ribosomal RNA is filed under the name uncultured bacterium. RNAcentral describes it as "partial 16S ribosomal RNA". It matches the Rfam family "Bacterial small subunit ribosomal RNA", at positions 28 to 507 of the family's 1533-position model. The record is from RNAcentral.